CCAGGGAGGUUCUCUCUUUGCGGGAGAUUAAAACGGGAACCGUGUGUGAGUCACGGGCUGUCGCGCAACUGUAAGUUCCAAUCCGAGCUUGUGUAACAAUGUCACUGAAGAGAUUCGGGAAGGCGCACAAGUGGAAUAAGUCAGGAGACCUGCCUCUCAUG
RNAcentral lists this non-coding RNA (161 nucleotides) under human gut metagenome. The record is from RNAcentral.